UUAGCAAAUGACGAUAAGGAAGACAGGGACUCUGCAGCGCUCCUGAUUUCAAAUCAGGGCCGCGAAUGAUGCAUCAGUCUAGGGGAAUCUCUGAUGCUAA
This is a non-coding RNA of Triticum aestivum (bread wheat), 100 nucleotides long. The record is from Rfam. NCBI's taxonomy places the organism in Eukaryota, Viridiplantae, Streptophyta, Magnoliopsida, Poales, Poaceae.